RNAcentral lists this ribosomal RNA (253 nucleotides) under Roseburia faecis M72/1. Its description in RNAcentral is "partial 16S ribosomal RNA". It matches the Rfam family "Bacterial small subunit ribosomal RNA", at positions 524 to 776 of the family's 1533-position model. The record is from RNAcentral. Lineage: Bacteria; Bacillati; Bacillota; Clostridia; Lachnospirales; Lachnospiraceae.
UACGUAUGGUGCAAGCGUUAUCCGGAUUUACUGGGUGUAAAGGGAGCGCAGGCGGUGCGGCAAGUCUGAUGUGAAAGCCCGGGGCUCAACCCCGGUACUGCAUUGGAAACUGUCGUACUAGAGUGUCGGAGGGGUAAGCGGAAUUCCUAGUGUAGCGGUGAAAUGCGUAGAUAUUAGGAGGAACACCAGUGGCGAAGGCGGCUUGCUGGACGAUAACUGACGCUGAGGCUCGAAAGCGUGGGGAGCAAACAGG